CUGUAGAUGACAAGCACACUCAUGUUGGCUUUUGCCUACUUCUCUAAGCAUGGGUUAUGUACCCAGCCCACAGGUCUCUUCAGAUAGAGAGCCAGUGUGACAUCAGAAAGACAGUGGUAGAACCCCAUCCCAUUGUCAAGGCACUACUACAUCAUCUACUUCCAAGAGGGGUGCCCUCCCAUGGUGCCCAUCUUCACAGUGAGCAGAUCACCACAGGAGGAUUGUCUCACAACCUUGGAGUCCUUGCAUUUAUAUAAAAAAAAACAAACCAGUUAUGAUAACUAGGAAAGGCUGCCUCUUCAAGCACUCAACCUACUCUGGCCAGGUAUUCCCAACUGGGAAAUCAAAAACAAUGACCAGGCUUCAGAGAACUGCCAGAAACGACCAUUCUUCCACUGCAGAGCAGGGCGUGAGAAGCCACGGUACAGUCCUGGAUCAAUUGGUGGGCUUUGGGCAAAGGCAGAACUGAGUUCAGCCAUUUUCUGAUUGAAGCCCUCUGUCCGUUCAUCUGAGGCAGUAAAGAGAAGGCCUGGCACAAAGCUAAGCAGCACAACUUCCUUCCCUCUCUGACUUCACUGUAAUAUAUCAGGCCAGGUAUACUGGCUGGUUCUGUGUGUCAACUGACACAAGCUGGAGUUACCACAGAGAAAGGAGCCUCAGCUCCUGCUUCCUGACCUGCUUGAGUUCCAGUCCUGACUUUCUUUGGUGAUGAACAGCAAUGUGGAAGUGUAAGCUGAAUAAACCCUUUCCUCCCCAA
Molecule: non-coding RNA, 757 nt
Organism: Rattus norvegicus (Norway rat)
Lineage: Eukaryota; Metazoa; Chordata; Mammalia; Rodentia; Muridae
Source: RefSeq, a predicted model, not a curated record